Molecule: microRNA precursor, 103 nt
Filed under: Marmota monax (woodchuck)
Lineage: Eukaryota; Metazoa; Chordata; Mammalia; Rodentia; Sciuridae
Source: RNAcentral
AGUGGGAUAGAUGGGUCAAAUGGUGGUUUCAUUGCAAACUUUCUGAGGAAUCUCCAUACUGCUUUCCAGAUUGGUUGCACCAAUUUGCAAUCCCACCAGCAAU